GCUGGGCGUGGUGGCUCACGCCUGUAAUCCCAGCAUUUGGGGAAGCUGAGGCGGGUGGAUCACCUGAGGUCAGGAGUUCAAGACCAGCCUGGCCAACAUGGUGAAACCCUGUCUCUA
Papio anubis (olive baboon) is the source of this 117-nucleotide unclassified non-coding RNA. It matches the Rfam family "Metazoan signal recognition particle RNA". From Rfam's summary of the family: The signal recognition particle (SRP) is a universally conserved ribonucleoprotein. It is involved in the co-translational targeting of proteins to membranes. NCBI's taxonomy places the organism in Eukaryota, Metazoa, Chordata, Mammalia, Primates, Cercopithecidae. The record is from Ensembl.